UCACCGAGAUUCCAAGGGGAAACGUGGCACGUGAAACAAUUUCUUUACUAUGUGAUAAAUUUGCAGACUUCUUUUGUGUAUGUUGUGACAUUGGAGCCUUAAACCACUCAAGAAGAUAUGCAUAAAAGGGUCAUUAUCUCUGCUUUGUAGAUAAGCUAACCCAGAGCUAAUCCAGAGAAGCAAAUUAUUGGCCUGGGGUCCUACAGUUUGUAAGUGGCAGGGAAGAGACUCAAAUCCAGUGUCCUGAAUCCAAGCAAGAUGGUUUUGCUCUUCCAUUCGGCUGCUUUCUCCCUGCUAUCAACUGAAUAUGUACCCCCCCCCCAGAAUUUAUCUAUUGAAACCUAAUGCCCAAUGUGAUAAUAUUGGGAGGUGGGGCCUUUAGGAGGUGAUAAGGUCAUGAGGAUGGAUCCCUCAUGAAUGGGAUUAGUGCCCUUAUCACAUGGAGAAACCUUGUCUCUACUAAAAAUACAAAAUUAGCUGGAUGUGUUGGCGCAUGCCUGUAAUCCCAGCUCCUCAGGAGGCUGAGGCAGGAGAAUCACUUGAACCUGGGAGGGUGAGGUUGUGGUGAGCCAAGAUCAUGCCAUUGCACUCCAGCCUGGGCAACAAUAGCAAAAUUCCAUCUCAAAAAAAAAAAAAAAAAAAAAAGGCCCCACUAAGUGGCCUCACCCAUCUACCAUGUGAGGACACGGGGAGAGGAUGGCCAUCUAUGGACCUGAAUUUAGGCCCUCACCAGGAACUGGAUCUGCUGGCACCUUGAUUUUUGGACUUCUUCAAUCUCUUUAUUAGUGAAAAUUGUGACGUCUGAAAUGUAUCAAAUUGGAGUUGGAGUUUCUAAUGAAGAAUUUCAGCAAGCCAGAGGCUUCCUGAUAACAUGCAAAUCACAGAGAACAUGUCUGCCUGGCCAGCUCCUAGCUCUGUUUCACCCCACAGCAAAACCAAGGAGUCUCCUUUUUUCUUUACAUUAUCCCCAUGUAAGACAUUACAGAGUGGAGAAAAAAAAACCUCUACUUUGAAGAGCUAAGGGCUUAUGUUUUGGAAAAUUGUUCUUGGACAUUGCUUUAAAUAUUGUGUAUCUUAAUUGGUAUUUGUGGUAUAUCUUGCUAAACCAUCCAAAAGGCUCAGUUAAAACUCAGAAUGAAAAGUUGUCAGAGAAGAAUUAUAAAUUUCUAUUAAAAUAGCAAUUGUAAAUGAUUAUUAUGUUUAAGUAACAUGAUUAGAUAAAUUUAAAGAAUAGAACAAAAAUGUUAUCCCCAACAACCAGAUAACCCAUGUUGGAUAUAAAUACAGCAAUGGGUGCAUGGAUGGAUGGAUGAAUGGGAACUACAGUGCACAUAUCUUAAAUUAUUCAAAUAGUCCAGAAAGGAAUGAAAUGAAAUGCAAAAAUCUCUCUCUCCAUCCCUCCUGCAAACCUGACUCCUCAUCUCCCCCUAAAGCUACACUUUGCUAACAGUUCCAUGUGUAUCUCACCAAGAAAACAACAUUUUUUACACUGAUAUACUAAGUGGGUGGAGUUUUUAAUCCCCAUUUUACAGAUGAGAAAACUGAGACAAGAGAGCCUAAGCAAGUUUCCCAAUCCACGCAGUUGGUAUGUCAGGAUGCAGACCCAGGGACUAGCUCCAGAGUCUACAGUCAACCACUGCACGAUGUCCAUGAGAACAACAAAGUCAGGUAUGAAACAGGAUGUGGCUUGCCUUGUGAAAAGCACUCGCUGCCAUUACAAGCCCUCACUAUGUGCUAGACACACUCCUGGGCACUUUUCAUAUUUGUCUCCUUAGUGAUUUAACUCAUUUACCUACUUGCAAGGACAUUUUUCUUUUCAGAGGAAGGUCGUUGAGGUCUCCCUUGACAGAAGCGCCACUGUCUUUCUGAGCGGGUAGGUCCACCUUGAUCGUCCAAGCUCUGACGCUGGGUGGCUUCGAUCCAGAGUGUCCCGGGGUGUGGCUGGAGGGUGGAUAUAGGAUUCGGAGCCAUGCUGAUAACAUGCUGGUAACAUGGAGUUUCCCAGGGACAAGGGACGAGGUGACCUACCAGGUCUCUCUCCGUCAGCCUCAGAGCCCACAGGGCUGGGCAGUGGUGGGCUGGGCAAGGGGAAGGAAAUUCAUCUCUGGAAACUGCCCUCCUGGAGGCCACCUGCUGCACAAACAGCACCAUGGAUGCAACGUGUCCCCACCCCUUGCACGCCAGCCCUGCACACUCCGCCCACGUCUCUACACCAUCCUGAAGAGAUGUCAUCUCGUCCUCUCGUGGUU
This 2249-nucleotide long non-coding RNA is filed under the name Homo sapiens (human). RNAcentral's name for it is "non-protein coding lnc-ATG2B-20:1". Lineage: Eukaryota; Metazoa; Chordata; Mammalia; Primates; Hominidae. The record is from RNAcentral.